AAUACUCCAAAUCGGAGUGGGUCAAGAUGAUAAGUUGACAAAGAAAAGGUUUUUUUUUUUUUUUUUGUUCAAAAGGGUUAACUAUGGAUAUUAAAUAAAAGGGAUGGCUUGAAAGGCUCAAACGGAUCAAAGAUGGCCUCUCCAUCGUCUUUUAGGGCUCUAAAUAAUUUUCCAUAUCUACUAGUUAGAUGGGCCUCCAAAUGUAGCAACACACUCUUUUUUUUCUUUUUUUUUUCUUUUUUUUUACCAUUUUUUUUAAAGGGUUAACUCAAAAGAAAUGUAGAGAUCGUGUAUAAAAUAAUAAACUGCUAAGCUGUAUAAAGAGUGGGCAAAAGGGUUAUUCUCCAAGAAAAAUAAUAGGCUCAAAAACUCACUUGGUACUUAUUAUGACAUGUUCAUUCCUUCAAGCAACUCACAUUUGUCUCCGACAUCAACAUGUAAA
RNAcentral lists this long non-coding RNA (442 nucleotides) under Citrus sinensis (sweet orange). RNAcentral's name for it is "long non-coding RNA (CSIN_LNC003161)". Lineage: Eukaryota; Viridiplantae; Streptophyta; Magnoliopsida; Sapindales; Rutaceae. The record is from RNAcentral.